This 343-nucleotide non-coding RNA is filed under the name Gibbsiella quercinecans. Lineage: Bacteria; Pseudomonadati; Pseudomonadota; Gammaproteobacteria; Enterobacterales; Yersiniaceae. The record is from RNAcentral.
UAUGAACUUGAAACGGAUAACGGCAGGCGCCGGGCGUUUUAAGGGCAGCACGAACAAGCCCGUUCUGGGCAAAAGGCAACCUAUCAGGCAGGGGCCUUGCGGUUUUCAGGAUGAACUCGGGACACCUCCAGGAAGGAGAUCGAGAGCCGAUAAAGGAAUAUUGGCGGGCCAUGAAAGGCUAUAAGGAACCACGCUGGGAAGGCGUUCAGGGAUUUGCACGGAUGUUGGGCCAGGAUGGCCAUAGGGAAAAGUUUUCAGGGAUUGAGCAGGGAGCACACUUUGUAGCUGGAUGGCUAUAAAACGAACUGGGGGCACUGUUAACGCAGUGCCCCUAUUUUUUUAC